GUUGGUGACCAGCGGAGGGACAUUAAAGAGUUCUAUAACUCCCAAACCCAUGUGAACAUACCUAACGUUGCCUCGGCAGGUCGCACCUACCUUGUAGCACCCUACCCUGUAGGGCCUACCCGGGAGGUGCGGGUAAGCCUGCCGGCGGCCCACCAAACUCUGUUUGAUAUUGAAUUCUGAACCUAUAACUAAAUAAGUUAAAACUUUCAACAACGGAUCUCUUGGUUCUGGCAUCGAUGAAGAACGCAGCGAAAUGCGAUAAGUAAUGUGAAUUGCAGAAUUCAGUGAAUCAUCGAAUCUUUGAACGCAUAUUGCGCCCAUUAGUAUUCUAGUGGGCAGGACCGUUCGAGCGUCAUUUCAACCCUUAAGCCUUCGUUGCUUAGUGUUGGGAGCCUACGGCAACGUAGCUCCUCAAAGUUAGUGGCGGAGUUGGUUCACACUCUAGACGUAGUAAUUUUUUAUCUCGCCUAUUAGUUGGACUAAUCCCCUGCCGUAAAACCCCCAAUUUAUCAAGGUUGACCUCGAAUCGGUUCAGACAAACUCGCUAAAUUGAAGCAUCUUAGUCAGCGAAGGAAAAGAAACCAACAGGGAUUGCCCUAGUAACGGCGAGUGAAGCGGCAACAGCUCAAAUUUGAAAUCUGGCCCUCGGGUCCGAGU
RNAcentral lists this ribosomal RNA (657 nucleotides) under fungal endophyte. RNAcentral describes it as "eukaryotic LSU rRNA". The stretch from base 202 to 355 matches the Rfam family "5.8S ribosomal RNA". The record is from RNAcentral. Lineage: Eukaryota; Fungi.